Molecule: long non-coding RNA, 1302 nt
Organism: Saccostrea echinata
Lineage: Eukaryota; Metazoa; Mollusca; Bivalvia; Ostreida; Ostreidae
Exons: 3
Source: RefSeq, a predicted model, not a curated record
AUGCUUUCGUAAAUGGUCCUGGAUCAGGUGUUCAGCAAACAGUAUCUUCUCAACACAGACAGAGAAUCAAUUUUGCAAAGUUACAACAUGCAGUAGAAUUUUUCAGUGAUCCAUCAUUCAACCAGAUUUCAUCAUACACUACAAGGAACCUAAAGCUAGAUUCUGGAGACACUUUAGUAAUUCCUGAUGUAGUUAGGACUAUGAUCCAUUCAAAUUUGAUCAAACCUUACAACACAUACUGCGCCAGUAAUAACUUUGAGCAUCUUAGUGAGUCGACUCUAUAUGAAGUCCUAAAUGCAUGUAGUGCAUCAAAACGGAAGUGUCUGAAAGGACUUGAUAACAUUGCUGUUGAUGGAUCUUCAGCUUUUGACAGUCUGAGUAGCUUAUUUGAUAAACUUGAUGAACCUCAACAAUGGAAAAAAGAAAUGAAGGAAAAGCUGUUCAAUGCUCGACUGUACUUAAAGACUGACUACAAACUCCACAUCAAGCGAGAAGAUGAAUGUGCUUUCCACUGCUUACAAUAUGCACUGAGUGACCCCAAAUCAAGCCAUCUUAGUGUUUCAUGUGACCAUGAGCAUAAUAAGAUCUGCAGCAGGUGUAACAUAUUUGGUGAAGUUGCCACAGAGAUCCGCAAGGUCAUCAUAAAGACUCCAUCAGAAGAGCAAGAGGUACUAUAUUGCAAGAUUUGGAAAUGUCCGUAAUACAGGUAGAGGACUGGAGAUUUCAUAUUAUAAGAACUGUGAAUCAAGAUGAUGGAAGAGUAGACAUUCUGCAUGACUUGAAGAACAACGAAGUUUUAGUGAUUCUAGACUGGGCGAUGAAAUAUUUGCCACAGAUGUACCGUGAGAAAAUGAAAGACUUCUUUGGACAGAAAGGUGUACACUGGCAUGUGUGUGUUGCAGUUUUCAAGGAACAAAAUGGAGGUUUAGUGCACAAGACUUUUACUCACAUAAUGGAUUAUGUGAAACAGGACUUCUUUGCUGUUCUUUCAUUACUAGAACAUACACUAGUAACUAUUAAACAAUAGCUGCCACACAUUACAGAAGCUUACCUUAGAUCAGACAAUGCGGGGUGCUACCAUUGUGGGCAGAUAUGGCUCUCCAUACCAUCAUUGUCAGAAAGAACAGGAAUUACUGUGAAGCGUUUCGACUACAGUGAAGCACAGAGUGGAAAAAGUUACUGUGAUGCAAAAAUUGCUCACAUGAGAUCAAAGAGGAGGAUCUUUUCUUCAGAGGGCCAUAAUAUAUGUACAGCUAUCCAGAUGAAGGAGGCAAUUGAGAGUGGUGCAGGAGUCAAGGGAAC